CUUGGAUAUGUGGACAAAAGCUUCGUUCGGCGAGAUGACGGAGUUCGACAGCAGCGUACAAACGACGCUCGCUGCUUGUAGCUUCGAGGAACGUGACCUUUUGGCUCCUGCGCGACAAUACGAGUUUGAGGAGUGGGAUACACGGGGAGAAUUUCGCAACCCGUGCGGCAAGGGAAAAGCAUUAGACUUUGUUCAAGUGCUUAUGGGGUG
This is a long non-coding RNA of Physeter macrocephalus (sperm whale), 210 nucleotides long. RefSeq lists it as uncharacterized. Lineage: Eukaryota; Metazoa; Chordata; Mammalia; Artiodactyla; Physeteridae. The record is from RefSeq and is a predicted model, not a curated record. The transcript is spliced from 3 exons.